CCUACGGGAGGCAGCAGUAGGGAAUAUUGCUCAAUGGUGGAAACCCUGAAGCAGCAACGCCGCGUGGAGGAUGAAGGUUUUCGGAUUGUAAACUCCUUUUUUUAGAGGAGCUAAUGACGGUAUCCAACGAAUAAGCACCGGCUAACUCCGUGCCAGCAGCCGCGGUAAUACGGAGGGUGCAAGCGUUACUCGGAAUCACUGGGCGUAAAGAGCGCGUAGGCGGGAUAGCAAGUCAGAUGUUAAAUCCUAUGGCUUAACCAUAGAACUGCAGUUGAAACUGUUAUUCUAGAGUAUGGGAGAGGUAGGUGGAAUGCUUGGUGUAGGGGUGAAAUGCGUAGAGAUCGAGAGGAAUACUCAUUGCGAAGGCGACCUGCUAGAACAUAACUGACGCUGAUGCGCGAAAGCGUGGGGAGCAAACAGGAUUAGAUACCCCUGUAGUC
Molecule: ribosomal RNA, 440 nt
Filed under: uncultured bacterium
Lineage: Bacteria
Description: partial 16S ribosomal RNA
Rfam family: Bacterial small subunit ribosomal RNA
Source: RNAcentral